AUUCGUCCAAGUGAAGCAGAGGACAGUGGCGGACGGGUGAGUAACGCGUGAGGAACCUGCCUUUCAGAGGGGGAUAACAUUUGGAAACAGAUGCUAAUACCGCAUAUGCCAUAACUACCGCAUGGUAGAAGUGGGAAAGGAGCAAUCCGCUGAUAGAUGGCCUUGCGUCUGAUUAGUUAGUUGGUGGGGUAACGGCCUACCAAGACGACGAUCGGUAGCCGGACUGAGAGGUUGAACGGCCACAUUGGGACUGAGACACGGCCCAGACUCC
RNAcentral lists this ribosomal RNA (271 nucleotides) under uncultured Bacillota bacterium. RNAcentral describes it as "uncultured Firmicutes bacterium partial 16S ribosomal RNA". It matches the Rfam family "Bacterial small subunit ribosomal RNA", at positions 73 to 339 of the family's 1533-position model. The record is from RNAcentral. Lineage: Bacteria; Bacillati; Bacillota.